UUAGGGCAGAGUGUGUUGCACAACAUUAGUCAAAGCUUCCUUUGUGCUGGUUGAAUGACCAGUUGAGCAAACAGGUAACCAGCAGCACCAGCAGCAGCCCUGUCACACCGUCGGGAGGAACAACUGCAUGAGCUGUGGUUUGGUGUCGUUUCUCAGGAUUUAGGAACCCUUGCGCUAAACAGCCGCUGCUAACCCGUGUCUGUCCUCUGGGCCUUUGUGAUUGGCUGUUCUCACAGGACUGCAGGGGGGACUUUCACACACGUGCGGCAUAUUCCCGAUCUCCUCUGUGGAUAAGUGCAGCUGUCAAGUGUGCACAAAGUUUCUGUCAACAGAAAUGUCAGCUGGUGAGGCUUUUGUGACCCUUGCCACCACAGACUCUUACUGCAUGGGAGCCACUGUAGUGGCCAGAAGUCUGCGGCGGCAUGGAACAACUCGCCACAUAGUUGCCAUGAUCACACCAAAUGUCUCUGAGCAGUCAAGACUCCCCCUUAAAGAUGUGUUUGAUGAAGUGAUUGUGGUGGAUGUGAUGGACAGUGAAGAUUACCACCACUUGUCCUUGCUUGGACGUCCUGAGCUUGGUAUCACUUUCACUAAGAUCCACUGCUGGACUCUGACACAGUAUAGCAAAUGUGUCUUUCUGGAUGCCGACACUCUGGUGCUGUGUAACGUGGACGAGCUGUUUGACAGGGAUGAGCUGUCAGCCGCUCCUGAUCCCGGCUGGCCCGACUGUUUCAACUCAGGAGUGUUUGUCUUCAGACCGUCCCUUCACACUCACACCAGAUUGCUGGAUCACGCCAGUCGCCACGGCAGCUUUGAUGGAGGAGACCAAGGACUGUUGAACUCUUUCUUCAGUAGCUGGUCAGUGGAAGACAUCAGUAAACACCUGCCGUUUGUUUACAACCUCAGUGCCAGCUCGGUCUACAGCUACCUUCCUGCUUUCCAACAGUUUGGCCACAAUGCAAAGAUCAUCCACUUUCUUGGGGCAGACAAACCCUGGAACUCGCAGGGAAACAGCAGCUACUCGCACAACAUGGAGCAGUUUGUGUCUCUGUGGUGGAAGGAAUACCUUAUUCACACAGUGUCAUCUGCUCCAGUUGUCCAGCCCAAGCAAGAGCAGAAGAAACUACAACAGAUCCAAGAAAGAGAAGCCAAGAUGCUGUUUACAGAAAACUUGGACAGCUCGAAUUCACUGCUUGCACAUUUUUCUCCUCCUCCUCCUGCAGAGUACCUUUAUUCACAGUCUGAACCAGCUGUGUAUGAUCACAGCUAUGAACAUGCAUCAGCAGAGUUAUCACGAUCCCCACGAUCAGUGUUCCCACACAGAUGGCACACAGUUGGAGGAGGAGUCGAGAUCAUCUGAGGAGUCAGAAGCUGAGGAUCCACCUUUGGGGGCAGAAUGCUCUGAAAGCAGUGACGUUCCUGCAGACACGGCUGCUGAUCCCGUGUGUAAUCCUUGGGCUUUAAACCACAUACAAACACCUGCAGACACCGAGACUGAGCCGCUGGAUCACCGCAGGCUGUGGGAGAUGGGACAGAUGGACUACCUCGGCAGAGAUGCCUUUCAAAACAUCCAAAGGAUGCUGGACCGCUUUUUGGAUUAAAAAA
This is an RNA transcript of Oreochromis niloticus (Nile tilapia), 1605 nucleotides long. It is a transcript of the gene named glycogenin 2, with no coding region annotated. The record is from RefSeq and is a predicted model, not a curated record. The transcript is spliced from 10 exons. NCBI's taxonomy places the organism in Eukaryota, Metazoa, Chordata, Actinopteri, Cichliformes, Cichlidae.